CCGCUCUCCUCCACACCUGGCACGCGUCACAGCAGGGGCCACCAUCCCUGCAGCUGUCACCCUGCUGCGCCUUAGCACACGCAGUGUCACCCAUGGCAACAGUUUUGCUUGUCCGCAGCUUGAGGCGCAGCUCCCCCCAAACCCCUGCACCGAUCUCCUUGAAACUUGGCAGGCUUUGUGGCCUCAGUAAGACUUACCAGCCCUGCAGUUUUGAUGCUGUAACAGGGAACCCCAACCCUGUUACUAAGAGGCAGGGUAGCCCCUUUAAGUCCAGAAGCUUCCAGUCACGGCCGGCCGGUCAAGCAGGGGUUAAGGCUCAAGCCCUGCAGCCGGUCAGGUGACAGGAAGAGGAAGGCCAGCACCCUACAAAUGGCAAGUGGAGAAGGCCAGAGGGGCAGCAGGGAGGUGGACUCCCAAUGACUAUGGUGUUGUGGCUGCAGUCUCUGUUGGAAGACUACGCCAUGCCCUGAGCCAUCCUCAUGAUCAUCUAAAUGAGACACAGGAGCCUGAGUGGGAAAAGGCAUCAGAGACAUAACCCAGUCAAGGAAUCAUAAGAUGAUCUUUUAAGAUCAUAGCCCUGGAGACUAUUUCAGCAAGGUGUCUCAGGUUCUGCAAAUGGGAAUCUGAAGAGAGAAAUGUUAUGCAACUGAAAGAGAACGAAACACAGCUGCCUAUAAACAAGCAAGAAGGGGCAAGUAAUAGACUCAGGAAUGUGUGCUGUUGACCAGUAAUUAUACUCCUAUACUAUUAGAUUAGCAUGAGAAACUUGGCUGAGAUUCAGGACUGUUCUAAAAGCUUUAUAAACAGAAGGUGUGUCCUGCUUUUUUCAUUACAACCAGUUUAUUUUAUUACAUAAAUAAAAAAGGCCCUAUAAAGUACAUCUGCUUUUGUUCAACAGCAAACCACAAGCUGGCAAAGCAAGUUAAUGACUCUUUGCAUAACAGCCUGGCUAAGCUGAAGUGAAAGGCUUUUAAGUCAAACACCUCUGCGUACACAAAUAACAAUCAUUGGAAUCUAAUGGCUGCCAGGGGCUCUUCCAGGGCAACUGUAUUUCACAGGGAGAUGAAGGAAUAAGCAUAUAAUAUCUAAAAAGGGCAUGACCCUUCCAUUGAAGUAAAUGAGAAACCAGAUUGCUUAGCAUCUCAUAGGGUCAGAUCCAUCAGUUAUGAAGCAUUUUGAGAAACUUCAACAGCUAGCCGAGCCCUGAGGCACUUCCUCUGGCCAAACCAGAGAUUGUAAGAAGUAGAAGUUGUUGUCAGCCGUGGUCAUAGUGUCAGGGGUAUGACCAAGAUGUAGGCAGACAGACUUGAUCCUAGAGGUCACAAACCAGGAGAUCAGGAACCUAGAAGGUUAGAAAGGAAGGGUCCCAACUAGAGUCAGGGGAUCUGGAGCAAGCAGGUCAGGUAGCUGAGGUCUGUAAUGGACCAGGAUGUGGGCAGUCACCACAAC
Alligator mississippiensis (American alligator) is the source of this 1449-nucleotide long non-coding RNA. RefSeq lists it as uncharacterized. The record is from RefSeq and is a predicted model, not a curated record. NCBI's taxonomy places the organism in Eukaryota, Metazoa, Chordata, Crocodylia, Alligatoridae. The transcript has 3 exons.